GAUGAAGAACGUAGCGAAAUGCGAUAAGUAAUGUGAAUUGCAGAAUUCAGUGAAUCAUCGAAUCUUUGAACGCACAUUGCGCCCGCCAGUAUUCUGGCGGGCAUGCCUGUCUGAGCGUCAUUUUAACCCUCAUGCCCCUAGGGCGUGGUGUUGGGGAUCGGCCAAAGCCCGCGAGGGACGGCCGGCCCCUAAAUCUAGUGGCGGACCCGUCGUGGCCUCCUCUGCGAAGUAGUGAUAUUCCGCAUCGGAGAGCGAUGAGCCCCUGCCGUUAAACCCCCAACUUUCCAAGGUUGACCUCAGAUCAGGUAGGAAUACCCGCUGAACUUAAGCAUAUCAAUAAGCGGAGGA
RNAcentral lists this unclassified non-coding RNA (348 nucleotides) under soil metagenome. RNAcentral's name for it is "partial contains 5.8S ribosomal RNA, internal transcribed spacer 2, and large subunit ribosomal RNA". The stretch from base 1 to 120 matches the Rfam family "5.8S ribosomal RNA", at positions 35 to 154 of the family's 154-position model. The record is from RNAcentral.